RNAcentral lists this ribosomal RNA (327 nucleotides) under uncultured eukaryote. RNAcentral describes it as "partial 18S ribosomal RNA". It matches the Rfam family "Eukaryotic small subunit ribosomal RNA", at positions 1470 to 1796 of the family's 1831-position model. The record is from RNAcentral.
CCCUUAGAUGUUCUGGGCCGCACACGCGCUACACUGAAGGAGGCAGCGUGUACUCCUGGAUCGAAAGAUUUGGGUAACCCGCGAAUCUCCUUCGUGCUAGGGAUUGAGGUUUGCAAUUAUCCUUCAUGAACGAGGAAUUCCCAGUAAGUGCAAGUCAUAAGCUUGCGCUGACCACGUCCCUGCCCUUUGUACACACCGCCCGUCGCUACUACCGAUUGAAUGAUUUAGUGAGGACUUCGGACUGGGACCGAUGCGGCUUUCGGGCUGCGUCGGUAUUCUGGAAAGAUGUCCAAACUGUAUCAUUUAGAGGAAGUAAAANUCGUAACA